RNAcentral lists this ribosomal RNA (522 nucleotides) under uncultured Ambisporaceae. RNAcentral's name for it is "SSU rRNA". It matches the Rfam family "Eukaryotic small subunit ribosomal RNA", at positions 569 to 1092 of the family's 1831-position model. The record is from RNAcentral. Lineage: Eukaryota; Fungi; Glomeromycota; Glomeromycetes; Archaeosporales; Ambisporaceae.
AGCAGCCGCGGUAAUUCCAGCUCCAAUAGCGUAUAUUAAAGUUGUUGCAGUUAAAAAGCUCGUAGUUGAAUUUUGGGUCUGGCCGGGCGGUCCGCCUUCCGGGUGAGUACUGUUCCGAUGUCGGGCCUAUCCUUCUGGUGAGACGGCAUGCCCUUUGCUGGAUGUGUCGGGGAACCAGGACCAUUACCUUGAAAAAAUUAGAGUGUUCAAAGCAGGCGCAUGCUCGAAUACAUUAGCAUGGAAUAAUGAAAUAGGACGCGUGGUGCUAUUUUGUUGGUUUCUAGAACCGCCGUAAUGAUUAAUAGGGAUAGUUGGGGGCAUUAGUAUUCAAUUGUCAGAGGUGAAAUUCUUGGAUUUAUUGAAGACUAACUUCUGCGAAAGCAUUUGCCAAGGAUGUUUUCAUUAAUCAAGAACGAAAGUUAGGGGAUCGAAGACGAUCAGAUACCGUCGUAGUCUUAACCAUAAACUAUGCCGACUAGGAAUCGGGCGAUGUUAUUUUCACGACUCGCCCGGCGCCUUAUG